GACGAACGCUGGCGGCGUGCUUAACACAUGCAAGUCGAACGGAAAGGCCCUGCUUGCUGGGUACUCGAGUGGCGAACGGGUGAGUAACACGUGGGUGAUCUGCCCUGCACUUCGGGAUAAGCUUGGGAAACUGGGUCUAAUACCGGAUAGGACCGCACUUUAGUGUGUGUGGUGGAAAGUUUUUUCGGUGUAGGAUGAGCUCGCGGCCUAUCAGCUUGUUGGUGGGGUAAUGGCCUACCAAGGCGGCGACGGGUAGCCGGCCUGAGAGGGUGUACGGCCACAUUGGGACUGAGAUACGGCCCAGACUCCUACGGGAGGCAGCAGUGGGGAAUAUUGCACAAUGGGCGCAAGCCUGAUGCAGCGACGCCGCGUGGGGGAUGAAGGCCUUCGGGUUGUAAACUCCUUUCGCUAGGGACGAAGCUUUUUGUGACGGUACCUAGAUAAGAAGCACCGGCUAACUACGUG
Molecule: ribosomal RNA, 465 nt
Filed under: uncultured bacterium
Lineage: Bacteria
Description: partial 16S ribosomal RNA
Rfam family: Bacterial small subunit ribosomal RNA
Source: RNAcentral